UGGGAGGCGCCUGGCCUAAAACUGCAUCUCCUUAGCCAUUAGUCACAGUUUAACAGUUAUAUAUUCUUUAAGGAGUAAAAUUUUGGAAAAAAAAGAUAAAGUAGGGAAAACGUCGCAUAUGUAGUUGGGUAGCUGCAAGGUUAUGAGUGACAAUGAUUCCAGCACCUAUAUAAGGAGCUUUAGACUGGGUAUUUUUCAAAAAGUGUUGAUCGCCGUCAAAAUGAAAGUCAUCGUUAUUGUGUACGCAGCGCUAGUGGGAAGCCUGUUGAUUUCCAUGGCUGUGGAUAUGCAAAAAAAGAUGAAGACAUAAUAUUCAGGAGUUUAGACAAGUAUAGCUACGAAUAAUAACUUUAUUGUAAUUAUAAAGAAUUAUUAUUUAAGGAAUGAUGGUAAUGUACUUAGAAUUAAAUACAUCUGUAUUCUAAUA
Long non-coding RNA from Zophobas morio, 427 nucleotides. RefSeq lists it as uncharacterized. The record is from RefSeq and is a predicted model, not a curated record. The transcript has 3 exons. NCBI's taxonomy places the organism in Eukaryota, Metazoa, Arthropoda, Insecta, Coleoptera, Tenebrionidae.